Molecule: long non-coding RNA, 414 nt
Filed under: Theobroma cacao (cacao)
Lineage: Eukaryota; Viridiplantae; Streptophyta; Magnoliopsida; Malvales; Malvaceae
Description: long non-coding RNA (TCAC_LNC004003)
Source: RNAcentral
GCUAAACUAUAAAGGUAAUAAUCUGGGGAUUCUAGAAUAGAAAGAAGUAGAAACUAACAAAACACUGACAUCACAAGCACGAUGAAGUAACAUUGUAAGCCUAAUUUGGGUCUAUUUUGCUCCUAAUUGUAGUUUGUGGUGAAAUCAAUGGAACUCAUUAUUCUACAAACAAGCUUUCCACACAAUCUCCACAAACAGGUGAAGUUUCUUUCAAUGACACCAAAUGCUGCCUAUUUCACGUAACAAGAAUUGUUUCCUUCCAAAUACAAGCAAAAGAUACUCAUUUUUGCCUUGAUAAACUUUUCAAUUUCUUUUUGCUGUCGAGGGGCCUAACACCAGAAAAGCUAUACAUAUUUUCAUAGCAACCACCUACAAGGUAAGCCGAUAAUUUUAGAAGGGGCCGCUGAACUUAUU